AAAAGAACCCCGGCGAGGGGAGUGAAAAAGAACCUGAAACCGUGUACGUACAAGCAGUGGGAGCCUCUUAAUGGGGUGACUGCGUACCUUUUGUAUAAUGGGUCAGCGACUUAUAUUCUGUAGCAAGGUUAACCGAAUAGGGGAGCCGAAGGGAAACCGAGUCUUAACUGGGCGUUAAGUUGCAGGGUAUAGACCCGAAACCCGGUGAUCUAGCCAUGGGCAGGUUGAAGGUUGGGUAACACUAACUGGAGGACCGAACCGACUAAUGUUGAAAAAUUAGCGGAUGACUUGUGGCUGGGGGUGAAAGGCCAAUCAAACCGGGAGAUAGCUGGUUCUCCCCGAAAGCUAUUUAGGUAGCGCCUCGUGAAUUCAUCUCCGGGGGUAGAGCACUGUUUCGGCAAGGGGGUCAUCCCGACUUACCAACCCGAUGCAAACUGCGAAUACCGGAGAAUGUUAUCACGGGAGACACACGGCGGGUGCUAACGUCCGUCGUGAAGAGGGAAACAACCCAGACCGCCAGCUAAGGUCCCAAAGUCAUGGUUAAGUGGGAAACGAUGUGGGAAGGCCCAGACAGCCAGGAUGUUGGCUUAGAAGCAGCCAUCAUUUAAAGAAAGCGUAAUAGCUCACUGGUCGAGUCGGCCUGCGCGGAAGAUGUAACGGGGCUAAACCAUGCACCGAAGCUGCGGCAGCGACACUAUGUGUUGUUGGGUAGGGGAGCGUUCUGUAAGCCUGUGAAGGUGGCCUGUGAGGG
This 751-nucleotide ribosomal RNA is filed under the name Escherichia coli. Its description in RNAcentral is "partial 23S ribosomal RNA". It matches the Rfam family "Bacterial large subunit ribosomal RNA", at positions 517 to 1269 of the family's 2925-position model. Lineage: Bacteria; Pseudomonadati; Pseudomonadota; Gammaproteobacteria; Enterobacterales; Enterobacteriaceae. The record is from RNAcentral.